This 465-nucleotide ribosomal RNA is filed under the name uncultured Klebsiella sp. RNAcentral describes it as "bacterial SSU rRNA". It matches the Rfam family "Bacterial small subunit ribosomal RNA", at positions 338 to 795 of the family's 1533-position model. The record is from RNAcentral. Lineage: Bacteria; Pseudomonadati; Pseudomonadota; Gammaproteobacteria; Enterobacterales; Enterobacteriaceae.
CCUACGGGGGGCUGCAGUGGGGAAUAUUGCACAAUGGGCGCAAGCCUGAUGCAGCCAUGCCGCGUGUGUGAAGAAGGCCUUCGGGUUGUAAAGCACUUUCAGCGGGGAGGAAGGCGGUGAGGUUAAUAACCUCAUCGAUUGACGUUACCCGCAGAAGAAGCACCGGCUAACUCCGUGCCAGCAGCCGCGGUAAUACGGAGGGUGCAAGCGUUAAUCGGAAUUACUGGGCGUAAAGCGCACGCAGGCGGUCUGUCAAGUCGGAUGUGAAAUCCCCGGGCUCAACCUGGGAACUGCAUUCGAAACUGGCAGGCUAGAGUCUUGUAGAGGGGGGUAGAAUUCCAGGUGUAGCGGUGAAAUGCGUAGAGAUCUGGAGGAAUACCGGUGGCGAAGGCGGCCCCCUGGACAAAGACUGACGCUCAGGUGCGAAAGCGUGGGGAGCAAACAGGAUUCGAUACCCCAGUAGUC